RNAcentral lists this ribosomal RNA (256 nucleotides) under uncultured bacterium. Its description in RNAcentral is "partial 16S ribosomal RNA". It matches the Rfam family "Bacterial small subunit ribosomal RNA", at positions 99 to 354 of the family's 1533-position model. The record is from RNAcentral.
CGGACGGGUGAGUAACGCGUGGGCAACCUGCCCUUAUCUGGGGGAUAACAGUUGGAAACGACUGAUAAUACCGCAUAAUAUGGUUUGAAGGCAUCUUCUUUUCCAUCAAAGAUUUAUCGGAUAAGGAUGGGCCCGCGUCUGAUUAGCUUGUUGGUGAGGUAACGGCUCACCAAGGCGACGAUCAGUAGCCGACCUGAGAGGGUGAUCGGCCACAUUGGAACUGAGACACGGUCCAAACUCCUACGGGAGGCAGCAG